RNAcentral lists this ribosomal RNA (653 nucleotides) under uncultured bacterium. Its description in RNAcentral is "bacterial SSU rRNA". It matches the Rfam family "Bacterial small subunit ribosomal RNA", at positions 97 to 728 of the family's 1533-position model. The record is from RNAcentral.
GGCGAACGGGUGAGUAACACGUGUGUAACCUACCUCUGGGAGGAGGACAACACCACGAAAGAGGUGCUAAUACUCCAUAGAGCCAUUAAACACAAAUUAAUUGAUGAAAGGUGGCCUCUGCUUGCAAGCUACUGUCCAGAGAUGGGCACGCGGUCUAUUAGCUAGUUGGUGGGGUAAUGGCUCACAAAGGCUACGAUGGAUAGCCGGCCUGAGAGGGUGGCCUGCCAUACUGGGAUUCAGAUACGGCCCAGACUCCUACGGGAGGCAGCAAAUCGGAAUAAUCCACAAUGGGAGAAAUCCUGAUGGUGCCACGCCGCGUGAGCGAUGACGGCUUUCGAGUUGUAAAGCUCUGUGUUAUGGGAAGAAAACCUGAUAGACUAAUAAUCUAUCAGCUUGACGGUACCAUAAUAGAAAGCCCCGGCUAACUACGUGCCAGCAGCCGCGGUAAUACGUAGCGGGCGAGCGUUGUUCGGAAUCACUGGGCGUAAAGGGCGUACAGGCGGCUGUGUAAGUCGGGUGUGAAACCCCCGGGCCCAACCCGAGGACUCCAUUUGAUACUGCAUAGCUUGAGAUCAGGAGAGGAGAGUGGAAUAUGUGGUGUAGCGGUGAAAUGCCUAGAUAACACAUAGAACACCGGUGGCGAAGGCGGCUCU